UUACAGGUGGGGCUUUUUUUCUUAAACCUUUAUCCAUCUUGAAAAUUCUUCUCCAGGAGAGGGAAGAAUGGUUAUCUUCAUUUGAUCAAUGGGAGAGGAGGCACAAGACAAGAUGUACAUGGAAGAUCUGUCUUAACAACUUUCAUUCUCAGUGGCCUGAUUGUCAGCAGCAGUAGCCUCUUUUCAGCAAGGGAGAUGGAUGCACUACACUAUGUACAUCAGCAGUAAACAAGGACCAGCAAAGUUGAACUCAGUGCUGGAAUCACCAGCAAAGAAGAUUAUUCUGAUGAUGAAAUGAACUUUCCCUUUCUUACUAGUUCUUAUGUCGUUGUCUAAAAAACAAAAUAAACAAAUCCAUAGAAAAC
RNAcentral lists this long non-coding RNA (365 nucleotides) under Phasianus colchicus (ring-necked pheasant). RNAcentral describes it as "lncRNA (ENSPCLG00000003762.1)". Lineage: Eukaryota; Metazoa; Chordata; Aves; Galliformes; Phasianidae. The record is from RNAcentral.